AGCAUUAAGUGGGCACUCUAAGGAGACUGCCGGUGACAAACGGAGGGAAGGUGGGGACGACGUCAAGUCAUCAUGGCCCUUACGUGUAGGGCUACACACGUGCUACAAUGGCAUUUACAGAGGGAAGCAAGACAGUGAUGUGGAGCGGACCCCUUAAAGAAUGUCGUAGUCCGGAUUGGAGUCUGCAACUCGACUCCAUGAAGUCGGAAUCGCUAGUAAUCGCAGGUCAGAAUACUGCGGUGAAUACGUUCCCGGGCCUUGUACACACCGCCCGUCACACCAUGGGAGUGGGAUGCAAAAGAAGUAGUUAGUCUAACCUUCGGGAGGACGAUUACCACUUUGUGUUUCAUGACUGGGGUGAAGUCGUAACAAGGUAACCCUAGGGGAACCUGGGGUUGGAUCACCUCCUUACCAUUACGUCGAAAGACGCACUUGAUGCAGUGCCUACACAGAUAGUCUUGUUUUUAUUGAACAAUACUUAUGUUCUUUAACAAUUUGGAAAGCUGAUAUUAAUAGUAAUCAAUCAAAAUUGAGUAACUGAGAAAUCGAAAGAUGACUUUUUACUCUACUUGACUGAAUUGCUUGUUAUCAAUUUAUUGAUAGCAAGGCAAUUCUUCCGAUUAGCUUGUCAUUCAUGCGACAUAACUUAGACAGAAGUCAAAAGGCUGUUUGGGGUUGUAUGGUUAAGUGACGAAGCGUAUACGGUGGAUGCCUUGGCAGUUAGAGGCGAUGAAGGACGUGUAAGUCUGCGAAAAGCUGUG
This 761-nucleotide small RNA is filed under the name uncultured bacterium. Its description in RNAcentral is "bacterial SSU rRNA". The stretch from base 1 to 411 matches the Rfam family "Bacterial small subunit ribosomal RNA", at positions 1120 to 1533 of the family's 1533-position model. The record is from RNAcentral.